AGUGAACGCUGGCGGUAGGCCUAACACAUGCAAGUCGAACGGCAGCACAGUAAGAGCUUGCUCUUACGGGUGGCGAGUGGCGGACGGGUGAGGAAUACAUCGGAAUCUACUUUUUCGUGGGGGAUAACGUAGGGAAACUUACGCUAAUACCGCAUACGACCUACGGGUGAAAGCAGGGGAGCUUCGGAGGUUGCGCGUGUGAAUGAGCCGAUGUCGGAUUGGCUAGUGGGCGGGGUAAAGGCCCACCAAGGCGAGGAGCCGUAGCUGGUCUGAGAGGCUGAUCGGCCACACUGGAACUGGGACGCGGUCCAGACUCCUACGGGAGGCCGCAGUGGGGAAUAUUGGACAAUGGGCGCGAGCCUGGUCCAGUCAUCCCGAGUGGGUGAAGACGGCCUUCGGGUUGUAAAGCCCUUUUGUUGGGAAAGAACAGCAGCCGGUUAAUACCCAGCUGUUCUGACGGUACCUAAAGAAUAAGCACCGGCUAACUUCGUG
Molecule: ribosomal RNA, 492 nt
Filed under: uncultured bacterium
Lineage: Bacteria
Description: partial 16S ribosomal RNA
Rfam family: Bacterial small subunit ribosomal RNA
Source: RNAcentral